RNAcentral lists this ribosomal RNA (253 nucleotides) under uncultured bacterium. RNAcentral's name for it is "partial 16S ribosomal RNA". It matches the Rfam family "Bacterial small subunit ribosomal RNA", at positions 524 to 776 of the family's 1533-position model. The record is from RNAcentral.
UACGUAGGUGGCAAGCGUUGUUCGGAAUUAUUGGGCGUAAAGCGCGCGUAGGCGGUUACUUAAGUCGGAUGUGAAAGCCCUCGGCUUAACUGAGGAAGUGCACCCGAAACUGAGUAGCUAGAGUACGAAAGAGGGUCGCGGAAUUCCCGGUGUAGAGGUGAAAUUCGUAGAUAUCGGGAGGAACACCGGUGGCGAAGGCGGCGACCUGGGUCGAGACUGACGCUGAGGCGCGAAAGCGUGGGGAGCAAACAGG